ACCUUAGCCAAAAGUUCAAAGUUAGCAUAACUAAUAGUGGGACAACUUGAAAUUAUGCAGCUCAUAAAGCAAUGCAAUAUAAUGUAUACACAAUGAUGUUUAAUUUGAAUCUAAUUAAGCACUCAGACUUAACUUCUGGUUAACAAGAUAUAUAGGGGAUAAAGAAACAAAUUAAACAGCACGAUGAGAAAGUAAUCAGAUAAAACCCAAACAUAGUACAUUACACAAAACAAAAAGUUUUAGGCUGUCCAAAGGACAAUAUUAUGAGAAAAAUAAAAAGAUGGUUGUGCAGGAGAAAUUUAAAGACAUUUAAGGAACAAGACAAUCUAAUGCAGUGUGUGAACUUAUCCAAGUUUAGGGUGACAUAUGUAGGCUAAAUGGGUUUGGAUAAUAGAGGACAUUAAGGAGUCACUGUUAGUUUUUCUAAAUUUGAUAAUGGCAUUUUGGUUUUCUAGAAAAAUGUAUUUUUUGGAGAUGCAUGCUGGAGUAUUCGAAAGUGCCAUGGCUAGAAUGUAUGUGUCCCUCAAAAUUCAUAUUUUGAGACUCAAGUUACAGUAUUAAAAGAUGGGGCCUUUAGAAUGAUUAAAUCAGGAGGGUUUUACUCCUCAUGAAUGAAUUAGUACCCUUAUAAAAAAGGGCUUGAGGGAAGUAGCUAUGCCCUAUUUGUUCUUCUAGCUCUUCUGCUGGGCGAGAUGAAAGCGUUCAUCUUCUCCGGAGAACACACGAAGUCCUCACCUUGCAAGCAGAGACCAGGCCCUCCCCAGACACUGAGCUUGGUGGCACUUGGAUUUUGGACUUCCAGCCUCCAAAAUUGUGAGAAAAAGUGCUGAAUAUCACAGAACACAAAGAAAAGAGAAAGAGAAACUGACAGAGCCUAUAAAUGUUGCACGAAGGUUCAGAUACAUACAGUUCUGCUGGCUUUUUAAGGAGCAGUGUUUCCUAUAUCCUAAGGCAGAUGGACAUGUUGGGAUGGAGGUAUAAUGAGAGAAAAGUGGUUACUUUCAAGACAGCACGCAAUUCCUUUUGGGAGAAAAUUGAAAAUAGAAGAAUGUAAUUUGGUGAUAUUUUUGGUGAGCAGAUGAGCUCCUCUGAGUGGAGCCUCUUAGUCUAGGUUGAGAAAAAUAUCAGUGAAACUAUUCUGCAUAUGGAAAGAACAGCUACUUGGGAGUUGGAAGAUGAUGGAGUAGUCUUACCAACAGAAAGUGGAAGAAUUGUCAGACGGUGUUGAGCUCAUGGGCAGAAGGGACUAGCCUUGCCUCAGAUGAGACUCGGGACUUUGAACCUUUGAGUUAAUGCUGGAAUGAGUUAAGACUUUGAAGGACUCUUGGGAAUUCAUGAUUGUAUUCUGAAAUGUGAGAAGAACAUAAUAUUUGGAAGGGAUGAGAAAAAGAGGCCAUCCAUGACCCUCCCCACAAUACAGUAGACCUGAACAAGAUGUUGACCCUGUACAUUGAAGAUAACAGCAACCAGUGUAUACACAUGUUAAACUUCAUCACAACCAAAACAAUGAGUGUAUUCAUCAUCCAGAAGUUUCCUCAAGCCCCUUUGUAAUCCUUCACCCUUGCCUCUCAUUGUGUCAUUCUCGAUGCCCAGGUAAAAACUGAUCUGCUUUCUGACACCAUUGCUUAGUUUUCAUUUUCAAGAACUACAUCUAUGUCAAGUCAUACAGUAUACAUUAUGCUUAUCUUUUUAAAACUAGUAUGAUUAUGUUGUUGUAUUAGCAGUUCAUUCAUUUACAUUGUUGAGUAAUGUUCUUCUGCAUGGAUAUACCACAGUUUCUUUAUAUGUUCACCUGUUUAAGGACAUUUGAUUGUUUUCAGUCUUGGGUUAAUGCAAAUAUAGCCAUUCUGCACAUUUUUGUAUAAGUCUUUGUAUAGACAUAUGCUUACAUUUUUUUUGAGUAAAUACCUAGGAGUGGAGUGUCUGAAUCAUAUAGUAGGCGUAUGUGUAACAUAUAAGUAACAUUGUAAAACUGUUUUCCAAAGUGCUCCUGCCAUUUUGCAUAAAAAUCAAAAGAAUAAGAGUGUUCUGCUUUGUCUACAUUAUUGCUAAUAUUUGGUAUGGUCAGUAUUUCUGACCCAUUCUAUUUUGUGUGUAUUGGUAUCUAAUUUUUGUAAUUGAUGACUUCCCUAAUGACAAGUGAUGUUGUUUUUCAAUUUCUAUAAAAUUUUGUAUAGAAUUGAUAUUAUUUCUCCUUAAGUUUUUGGUAAAAUACCCCAGUGAAGCCAUAUAGGUCGGGAGGCUUUCUUUGUUGUUAUUUGUUUGUUUUGUUCUGUUUUCUUAUUGUUUUUUUUUUAAUUGGAAGGUCUUUAAAUUCAAUGUCUUUAAUAGAAAAAGGACUAUUCAGGUUAUCUCUAUUUCGUGUUGAAAAAACUUUGUUAGUAUUGCUUUAAAAAAUUUUGCCCAUUUUAUCUACAUUUUAUUAGUAGUAUAAAAUUGUCCAUAACAUUUCUCUAUUGACUUUUCAAUAUCUAUAGAUUUUGUCAUAAUCCCAUCAUUCUCAUUGUUUGAUAAUCUGCUUUAUUUUUUCCUGAUAAAUGUAGAUAUAUGUUAUUAAAUAAAUUAACUUUCUCGAAGAUCCAGGUUUUGAUUUUAUUUAUUCUUCUCUGUGCUUUUUUUUUCUGUUUCUACUUUAUUUACUUUUAUUCAGAUCUUUAUUUUUUCCCUUUGUC
RNAcentral lists this long non-coding RNA (2672 nucleotides) under Homo sapiens (human). RNAcentral describes it as "HSALNT0109943". The record is from RNAcentral. Lineage: Eukaryota; Metazoa; Chordata; Mammalia; Primates; Hominidae.